This 457-nucleotide ribosomal RNA is filed under the name uncultured bacterium. Its description in RNAcentral is "bacterial SSU rRNA". It matches the Rfam family "Bacterial small subunit ribosomal RNA", at positions 29 to 523 of the family's 1533-position model. The record is from RNAcentral.
AACGAACGCUGGCGGCAUGCCUAACACAUGCAAGUCGAACGGGAUCCUAGCUUGCUAGGUGAGAGUGGCGGACGGGUGAGUAACACGUGGGAAUCUGCCUUUUGGUUCGGGAUAACCGCGGGAAACUGCGGCUAAUACCGAAUGCCCUCGUGAGAGGAAAGAUUUAUCGCCAGAAGAGGAGCCCGCGUCCGAUUAGGUAGUUGGUGGGGUAAAGGCCUACCAAGCCGACGAUCGGUAGCUGGUCUGAGAGGAUGAUCAGCCACACUGGGACUGAGAUACGGCCCAGACUCCUACGGGAGGCAGCAGUGGGGAAUAUUGGACAAUGGGGGCAACCCUGAUCCAGCAAUGCCGCGUGAGUGAUGAAGGCCUUAGGGUUGUAAAGCUCUUUUGCCAGGGAAGAUGAUGACUGUACCUGGAGAAUAAGCCCCGGCUAACUUCGUGCCAGCAGCCGCGGUAA